Molecule: ribosomal RNA, 253 nt
Filed under: uncultured bacterium
Lineage: Bacteria
Description: partial 16S ribosomal RNA
Rfam family: Bacterial small subunit ribosomal RNA
Source: RNAcentral
GACGUAGGGCGCGAGCGUUUGUCCGGAUUUAUUGGGCGUAAAGAGCUCGUAGGCGGUCUGUCGCGUCCGUUGUGAAAACUCGAGGCUCAACCUCGGGCUUGCAGUGGAUACGGGCAGACUAGAGUGCGGUAGGGGAGACUGGAAUUCCCGGUGUAGCGGUGAAAUGUGUAGAGAUCGGGAGGAACACCGGUGGCGAAGGCGGGUCUCUGGGCAUUCCCUGACGCUGAGGCGCGAAAGCGUGGGGAGCAACGGG